AGAGUUUAGAGGGCUCAGAAGACAGGAAGAUAAGGGAAAGUUUGGAACUUCUCAGAGACUGGUUCAAUGGUUGUGACCAAAAUACUGGUACCCAAGACUGGGUAAUUUGUAAAAAAAAGAGGUUUAAUUGACUCACCAUUCAGCAUGGCUGGGGAGGCCUCCGAAACUUACAAUCAUGGUGGAAGGGGAAGCAAACACGUCCUUCAUCACAUGGUGGCAGGAAGGAGAAUGAGAAUUCAGCAAAGGGGGAAGCUCCUUAUACAACCAUGAGACCUUGUGAGCACUAACUCACUAUUAUGAGAACAGGAUGGGGGAAACUGCCCCCAUGAUUCAAUUAUCUCCAGGUUCCUCCCAUGACACGUGGGAACUAAAAUUCAAGAUGAGAGUUAGGUGAGGACAUAGCCAAACUGUAUCAUUCCACCCCUCACCCCUCCUAAAUCUCAUGUCCUCACAUUUCAAAACCGAAUCAUGCCCUUCCAAUAGUCCCCCAAAGUCUUAACCCAUUUCAGAGUUAACUCAAAAGUCCGAGUCCAAAGUGUCAUCUGAGACAACACGAGUAAGUCCCUUUUGCCUAUGAGCCUGUAAAAUCAAAAGGAAGUUAGUUACUUCCUAGAUAGAAUGUGGGUACAGGCAUUGAGUAAAUACACCCAUUCCAAGUGGGAGAAGUUGGCCAAAACAAAGGGGUUACAGGCCCCAUGCAAGUCUGAAAUCCAAUAGGGCAGUCAUUAAACCUUAAAGUUCCAAAAUAAUCUCCUUUGACUUCAUGUCUCAUAUUCAGGUCAGGGUGAUGCAAGAGGUGGGCUCCCACAGCCUUGGGAAGGUCUGCCCCUGUGGUUUUGCAGGGUAAAGCCCCCCUCCUGGCUGCUUUCAUGGGCUGGCAUUGAGUGUGCAAGCUGCUGGUGGAUCUGCCAUUCUGGGAUCUGGAGGACUGUGGCCCUCUCCACACAGCUUCAUUAGGGAGUGUCCUGGGGGGACCCUGUGUGGGGUCUCUGGCCCCACAUUUCCCUUCUGCACUGCCCUAGCAAAGGUUUUCCCUGAGAACUCCACCCCUGCAGCAAACUUCUACCUGGACAUCCAGGCAUUUCCAUACAUCUUCUGAAAUCUAGGUGGAGGUUCCCAAACCUCAAUUCUUGACUUCUGUGCACCCCCAGGCCCAACACCAUAUGUAUGCCACCAAGACUUGGGGCUUGCACCCUCUGAAGCAAUGGCCUGAGCUCCACAUUAGCCCCGUGUAGCCAUGGCCAAGACACACGGCACCAAGUCCCUAGACUGCACAUAGCAUCAAGGCCCUAGGCCUGGCCCACAAAACCGUUUUUUUCUUCUAGUCCUCUGAGCCUGUGAUGGGAGAGCCUGCAGUGAAGACCUCUUACAUGCCCUGGAGACAUUUUCCCCGUUUCCUUGGUGAUUAACAUUUGGCUCCUCGUUACUUAUGCAUAUUUCUGUAGCCAGCUUGAAUUUCUCCUCAGAAAGUGGGUUUUUCUUUUUUAUUGCAUUGUCAGGCUGCAAAUUUUCUGAACUUUUAUGCUCUGCUUCCCUUUUAAACGUAAGUUCCAAUUCCAAACCAUAUCUUCAUGAAUACAUAAAACUGAAUGCUUUUAACAGCACCCGAGUUACCUUUUGAAUGCUUUGCUUCUUGGAAAUUCCUUCCACCAGAUGCCCUAAAUCAUCUCUCUCAAGUUCAAAGUUCCACAGAUCUCUAGGGCAGGGGCAAAAUGCUGCCAGUCUCUUUGCUAAAACAUAGCAAGAGUCACUUUUACUCCAGUUCCCAACAAAUUCCUCAUCUCUUUCUGAGACCACUUCAGCCUGGACUUCAUUGUCCAUAUCACUAUAGCAUUUUGAUCAAAGCCAUUCAACAAGCCUCCAGGCAAUUCCAAACUUUCCCACAUCUUCCUGUCUUCUUCUGAACCCUCCACACUGUCCCAACUUCUGCCUGUUACCCAGUUCCAAACUCGCUUCCACAUUUUUGGAUAUCUUUACAGUAGUGCCCCACUCUCAGGUACCAAUUUACUGUAUUAGUCUGUUUUCAUGCUGCUAAUAAAGACAUAUCUGAGACUGGAUAAUCUAUAAAGGAAGGAGGUUUAAUUGACUCACAGUUCUGUAUGGCUAGGGAAGCCUCAGGAAACUUACAAUUAUGGCAGAAGGGGAAGAAAACAUGUCCUUCUUCACAUGGCAGCAGGAAGGAGAAUGAGAAUCCAGCAAAGGGGGAAGCCCCUAUUAAAACCAUCAGAUCUUGUAAAACUUACUAUCAUGAGAACAGAAUGGGGAAAACCACCCCCAUGAUUUAAUUAUCUCCACCUGGUCCCUCCCACAAUAUGUAGGGAUUAUGGGAACUACACUUCAAGAUGAGAUUUGGGUGAAGACAGCCAAACCAUAUCAGUCUCAGAUGGAAAUAAGGAAUUUAUUGGGAACUGGAGUAGAGGUCACCCAUGUUACACCCUAGCAAAGAACUUGGCUGUAUUAUGUUCAUGUCAUAGGGAUCUGUGGAAGUUUGAAGUUAAGAGUGAUAACUUAGGGUAUGAAGUGAAUGACAUUUCUAAGCAGCAAUUGUUUAAGAUAUGGCCUGGCUGCUUUUAACAGCCUAUGAUCAGAUGUGGGAGCAAAAUUACUUAAAGUUGGAACUUAUAUUUAAAAGGGAAACAGAGUGUGAAAGUUUGAAAAUUUUGCAGCCUGGACAUAUGGCAGAGAAAGAAUCCAAGCAGAUUGUGGAGCAAGCACUUGCUAGAGAGAUCAGCAUAGAUAAAAGGGAGUCAAGUGCUAAUAUCCAAAACAAUGGGGAAAAAAGACCUUGAAGGCAUUUCAGGAAUCUCUGAGACAGCCUCUCCUACCACAGGUUCAGAGGCCUAGGAAGAAAGAAUGGUUUCGUGGGCCAGUCCCAGAGUACUGCUGCCCUGUGCAGCUUUGUGACAGUGCUCCCUGCUUCCUGGGUGCUCCAGCUCCAGCCUUGGCUCAAAGGACCCCAAGUACUGCUCAUGCUGUUGCUCUGGAGAGUGCAAGCUGCCAUAAGCCUUGGUGGCCUCCAUGUUUUGUUAAGUCUGUGAGCAUAUGGAUUGCAAGAGUGAAGGAGACUUGGCAGCUUCCCCCUAGAUUUCAGGGGAUAUAUGAGAAAGUCUGGGUGCCUAGGCAGAAGCCUGCUGCAGAGGUGGAGCCCUCAUGGAGAACCUCUACUAGGGUAGUGAGGAGGGUAAAUGUAGGGUUGGAACCCCUACACAGAGUCGCUACCAGGGCACUGCCCACCAGAUACCAAAAUGAUAGAUCCAUCAGCAGCUUGCACCCUGCUUCUGGAAAAGCCACAGACACUCAACUGCAACCUGUGGGAGCAGCUGUGAGGGCUGUACCUUGCAAAGCCACAGGGGCAGAGCUGCCCAAGACCUUGGGAGCCAAUCUUUUGCAUCAGUAUGGGCUGGAUAUGGGACAUGGAGUCAAAGGAGAUUAUUUUGGAGCUUUAAGAGUUGAUGACUCCUCUGCUGAGUUUCAGACUUGUUUGGGAACUAUUACCCCUUUCUUUUGGCCAAUUUCUCCCUUUUGGAAUGGUAAUGUUUACCCAAUGCCUGUACUACCAUUGUAUCUUGGGAUUAGAUAACCCGCUUUGAUUUUACAGGGUCAUAGGUGGAAGGAGAUGAGUCUCAGUUGAGAUUUCGAACUUUGGGUUUGAUGCUGGAAUGAGUUAAGAGUUUUGGGCACUAUUGGGAGCAGAUGAUUAUAUUUUGCAAUGUGAGAAGGAUAUUAGAUUUGAGGGGCCGGAGUGGAAAGAUACAGCUUUCAUAUUUGUCCCAAUCACAUCUCAUAUUGAAAUUUAAUUGCCAAUGUUGUAGGUGGGGCCUGGUGGGAAGUGUUUGGGUCAUGAGUGCAGAUCUUUCAUGAAUAACUUGGUGCUUUCCUUGAGACAGUGAGUUCUCAUGAAAUCUGGUUGUUUAAAGAGUGUGACACUUCUCCUUCUUUCUUGCUCUCACUCUCACCAAUAAUAUGUCUGCUUCUGCUUUACAUUCUGCCAUGAUUGUAAAGGUUCUGAGGCUUUCGCCAGAAGCAGAUGCUGGAGCCAUGCUGGGACACUCUGCAGAACUCUGAGCCAAGUGAACCUCUUUUGUUUAUAAAUUACCUAGUCUCAGGUAUUUCUUUAUAGCAAUGUAAGAACAGCCUAACACAGAUGCCUUUUAUUUCGUUCUUUUGCCUGGUUGCUCUGGCUGUGACAUCUAAUACUAUGUUAAAUAAAAGUGGUGGAAGUUGGCAUCCUUGUCUUACUUAAGUUCUUAGGUGAAUUGCUUUCAACUUUUCCAC
RNAcentral lists this long non-coding RNA (4275 nucleotides) under Homo sapiens (human). RNAcentral's name for it is "non-protein coding lnc-CCNB1IP1-5:1". The record is from RNAcentral. Lineage: Eukaryota; Metazoa; Chordata; Mammalia; Primates; Hominidae.